This 163-nucleotide ribosomal RNA is filed under the name Macropanax chienii. RNAcentral describes it as "5.8S ribosomal RNA". It matches the Rfam family "5.8S ribosomal RNA". From Rfam's summary of the family: 5.8S ribosomal RNA (5.8S rRNA) is a component of the large subunit of the eukaryotic ribosome. It is transcribed by RNA polymerase I as part of the 45S precursor that also contains 18S and 28S rRNA. Lineage: Eukaryota; Viridiplantae; Streptophyta; Magnoliopsida; Apiales; Araliaceae. The record is from RNAcentral.
AACGACUCUCGGCAACGGAUAUCUCGGCUCUCGCAUCGAUGAAGAACGUAGCGAAAUGCGAUACUUGGUGUGAAUUGCAGAAUCCCGUGAACCAUCGAGUCUUUGAACGCAAGUUGCGCCCNAAGCCAUUANGCCGAGGGCACGUCUGCCUGGGCGUCACGCA